This is a transfer RNA of Singulisphaera acidiphila DSM 18658, 73 nucleotides long. It matches the Rfam family "tRNA". Rfam says of the family: Transfer RNA (tRNA) molecules are approximately 80 nucleotides in length. The record is from Rfam. Lineage: Bacteria; Pseudomonadati; Planctomycetota; Planctomycetia; Isosphaerales; Isosphaeraceae.
GCCCCCAUCGUCUAGUGGCCUAGGAUACUAGGUUCUCAGCCUAGGGACCGGGGUUCGAGUCCCCGUGGGGGUA